Sapajus apella (tufted capuchin) is the source of this 1096-nucleotide long non-coding RNA. RefSeq lists it as uncharacterized. The record is from RefSeq and is a predicted model, not a curated record. Lineage: Eukaryota; Metazoa; Chordata; Mammalia; Primates; Cebidae. The transcript is spliced from 3 exons.
CUGUCACCCAGGCUGGAGUGUGGUGGUGAGUGUGAGCCUCCACCUCCUGGGCUCAAAUAAUCCUCCCUCUCAGCCUCCCCAGUAGCUGGCACCACAGGCACAUGCCAUCAUGUGACUGCAUUUUAAUUCAUGUAAUUCCUCUUUCCCAAGUUCUCUAGUUUAUACCAUGUCCUUUCCUGAGGAACAUAAAUCACGUGUUAUUGUCUGCUUUUCAUCCUGAGAGGAAGGAGACAGUCACAUGGCCACCUGAUGCUUGAAGGGUUUGGUGAUCACCGGGUCCAGUGAAGAGCCUCGGGAUGAGUCAGUGUGGCUUUACCCAGGCGUGGAGGAGUACAUUUCUUGAUAGUGAUCAAGUCUCCUUAUUAAAUAGGAGUGCAGCUGAUUGGGGAUCUCCUCACAUUUGCUUUCUUUCAUGGCAAGUGCCCAAAUUCAUGCUGUACUCUCAGCAGCAAGGAGUGGGACCAUUACUCCUGGUGUUCCCAGAUGGAAUGGACACCAAGCCUGGCUUUGCCACUGAACACAAUACAGGACUAAUAAAGCAGAGUAUAGUCAGAAAGCUGAGUCAACUCAGAUUUCUCACCAUUGAGUCAAGUUGUGAAGCCUGCCCUCUUGGGAGUAGAGGAUUUUCAUACGGAAGCAUUAUGGAGUCUCGCUCUGUCACCCAGGUUGAAGUGCAGUGGCGCAAUCUUAGCUCACUGCAACAGAGGUCAAGAAGUCAAGAGCAGCUCUGCCGAGUGGUCGGUGUUCACACUCCAGGGACAAAGUCUGUGAGCCCCUGAGGUCCCCAGAACUGCUCUCACUUUUCCUUGCGGUGUCAACUCUGUCUUCAAAUCCUAAGAAAUCCAAUAUUUUUACAAUCAAUUCCUUUUGGGGGCUUAAGCUCCUCUGAAUCAGAUUUUGCUAUUUGUAACAAAAAAAUAAUACUAGUAAGUAGGGAGUCUUAACAGUACUAAGAUCAAAAGUGUAAAAGGGAGAGCAGGUGGGGCGUGGUGGCUCACGCCUGUAAUCCCAGCACUUUGGGAGGCCGAGGUAGGCACACCACUAGGUCAGGAGUUCAAGACCAGCCUGACCAACAUGUGAAACUCCUAUCUCUACU